Neoarius graeffei (lesser salmon catfish) is the source of this 4278-nucleotide long non-coding RNA. RefSeq lists it as uncharacterized. The transcript is spliced from 2 exons. The record is from RefSeq and is a predicted model, not a curated record. Lineage: Eukaryota; Metazoa; Chordata; Actinopteri; Siluriformes; Ariidae.
ACAGCUGGAGGACCAAAUUGCAACUCAUUAGGUCAAUUGGCAAUAGGUCAUUAACAUGACUGGGUAUAAAAAGAGCAUCUUGGAGUGGCAGCAGCUCUCAAGUAAAGAUGGGAAGAGGAUCACCAAUCCCCCUAAUUCUGCACCGACAAAUAGUGGAGCAAUAUCAGAAAGGAGUUCGACAGUGUAAACAGUUCUUUGGUUAGACAAAUCAAAAUUUGAAGUUCUUUAUGGAAAUCAGGGACACCGUGUCAUUCGGACUAAAGAGGAGAAGGACGACCCAAGUUGUUAUCAGCGCUCAGUUCAGAAGCCUGCAUCUCUGAUGGUAUGGGGUUGCAUUAGUGCGUGUGGCAUGGGCAGCUUACACAUCUGGAAAGACACUAUCAAUGCUGAAAGGUAUAUCCAGGUUCUAGAGCAACAUAUGCUCCCAUCCAGAUGACGUCUCUUUCAGGGAAGACCUUGCAUUUUCCAACAUGAUAAUGCCAAACCACAUACUGCAUCAAUUACAGCAUCAUGGCUGCGUAGAAGAAGGGUCCGGGUACUGAACUGGCCAGCCUGCAGUCCGGAUCUUUCACCCACAGAAAACAUUUGGCACAUCAUAAAACAGAAGAUAUGACAAAAAAGACCUAAGACAGUUGAGCAAUUAGAAUCCUACAUUAGACAAGAAUGGGUUAACAUUCCUAUCCCUAAACUUGAGCAACUUGUCUUCUCAGUCCCCAGACGUUUACAGACUGUUGUAAAGAGAAAAGGGGAUGUCUCACAGUGGUAAACAUGGCCUUGUCCCAACUUUGAGAUGUGUUGUUGUCAUGAAAUUUAAAAUCACCUAAUUUUUCUCUUUAAAUGAUACAUUUUCUCAGUUUAAACAUUUGAUAUGUCAUCUAUGUUCUAUUCUAAAUAAAAUAUGGAAUUUUGAAACUUCCACAUCAUUGCAUUCCGUUUUUAUUUACAAUUUGUACUUUGUCCCAACUUUUUUGGAAUCGGGGUUGUACUCUCACUACUUGCCAUAAUGCUCAAAAUUAAGAUGCUUGAAACAUUUUAGUUUAUGUGUAAUAUGCCUAGAAUACUAGUGUAUCUCAAACAAUUAGAAUAUUGUGAAAAAAGUUCAAUAUUUUCCAUCAGCUAUUUAAAAAAGUUAAUAUAUAAUAUAUUCCAGACUCAUUACAUGUCAAGUAAAAUAUUUCAAGCAUUUUUUUUACUUUAAUUUUGAUAAUUAUGGCCAACAGUGCAAUUUUUUUUUAAAAUUGCAACAUAUUAGAAUAUUUCAUUUUGAGUUUGAGUAAAACAGUAUAAAUACUAUGUAUCUCUCGGUCUAGUUCAGUAUAUGCAACCACAAUCAUGGGGAAGACUCCUGACUUGACAUUUGUCCAGAAGACGAUCAUCAACACCCUCCACAAGGAGGGUAAGCCACAGAAGGUCAUUGCUGAAAAGACUGGCUGGAAAAGGUGCACAAGCAACAGGGAUGACCGCAGCCUUGAGAGGAUUGUCAAGAAAAGUCGAUCCAAGAACUUGGGAGAGUUUCACAAGGAGUGGACUAAGGCUGAUGUCAGUGCAGCAAGAGCCACCAUGCAUAGACGUCUUCAGGAAAGGGGCUACAACUGUCGCACUCCUAAUAUCAAGCCACUCCUGAACCAGAGACAACAUCAGAAGCGUCUUACCUGGGCUAAGAAGAGAAAGAACUGGACUGUUGCUCAGUGGUCCAAAGUCCUCUUUUUAGAUGAAAGUAAAUUUUGCAUUUCAUUUGGCAAUCGAGGUCCUAGAGUCUGGAGGAAGAGUGGAGAGGCACAGAAUCCAAAGUGUUUGAAGUCCAGUGUGAAGUUCUCACAGUCUGUGAUGAUUUGGGGUGACAUGUCAUCUGCUAGUGUUGGGCCACUGUGUUUUAUCAAGUCCAAAGUCAACACAGCCAUCCACCAAGGGAUUUUAGAGCACUUCAUGCUUCCAUCUGCUGGCGAGCUUUAUGGAGAUGCCAAUUUGCCAAUUUCCAGCAGGACUUAGCACCUACCCACAGUGCCAAAACUACUACCAAAUGGUUUGCUGACCAUGAUAUUACUGUGCUUGAUUGGCCAGCCAACUCGCCUGACCUGAACCCCAGAGAGAGUCUAUAGGAUAUUGUCAAGAGGAAGAUGAAAAACAUCUGACUCAAAAAUACAGACGAGCUGAAGGCUGCCAUCAAAGCAACCUGGGCUUCAAUAACACCUCAGCAGUGCCUCAGGCUGAUCGACUCCAUGCCACACCACACUGAUGCAGUAAUUCAUGAUAAAGGAACCCCAACCAAGUAUUGAGGAGAGACACCAACUGCGGGAACCAAAUUCCUUGUGUAUAUUAACAUACUUGGCCAGUAAAUCUGAUUCUAAUUCUUAGAUCAGCAUGCUGAAACAACUCACUCAUCACAAAGAUCUCACUCAGUUCAAAUACCAGGCGUCUGCAUGUCCAUAACAAUUUAAGCAGCAGGAGCUCUUUUUGGACUUGUCCAGGGUGUAACCUGCCUCUCGCCCAUAAUCAGCUGGGAUAGGCUCCAGCUUGCCUGUGACCCUGUACAGGAUAAGCAGCUACAGAUGAUGGAUGGAUGGAUGGAUCUCUUUUUGGAAGAAUUCCAUGCUACACUUUGUGAGACUACAAUCCAUAGCAAAGAGCUAAAGAUACAGAGGCACAACUUUCCAAUAACAACUGAAAUAAUGCUCCACUGAAUGCAAAGAGCAGUGUCAGCUUUUCUGAAACCCCAUGUUGUUAAGUUUAACUCCCUUUUGCAUGAUUUUUGCAUAGCUAAAAUGGAACUUCAGCAUUCUCUUAACUUUGCCAUUGCACAGAGGACAAUGGAACAGUAAUAUAAAAUGUAUUAAUGCUCAUUAAUAAGCAUUCCCAUAAAUAAUGUAUGGAUUCCUGUAGUCUUUUUAAAUUUGUGGAUUUAGCAUGUACACAGGGCUAACAAAAUGCUUGGAGAACAUCCUAAUCACAGUCAUGCUCAAGCUCUGUAAAUUCUCGGCCAAAGUGAGCCUGUGUUACAAUAUUAGAGCUGCUUAGGGAGAGAAAAAAGCAAAUGGAGACAGGGUGAAGAGAGGAGAGGACAUGGACAAUAACCUGCACAACCCUUAUUUAGAAGAGAACUAGUUAUGAGCAGUUUGAGAACAUUUUUAAAGCUUUAAUAAGUGAAGCAGUUGACUUAAAUGAGGAUUGAGACCCCACCAUGAGUUUCGGCAUACUAGUGUCAAUGUAUGGUGCUCACCCAAAUGGGAUGAGAGGUGAAACGUCUUCAAGAAUCUCCAAGGAAGUCCAGUUGCUCUCUUUUACCACCCACAGUUUACUAUGACCUGGAUGACUGAGAAUCUUCAGAGACACCCAAACACAGAUGGUGUGUUCACACCUAUGAAAACAGCCCAAACUAAUGCCUAGUUUAAUAAAAUAAGAAGUGCAGUGAUCAUAAGGGGUCCAUGGUAUUUAUUUUAAACACUGGAUGGGAUACAUAGAGAGUUUGGGAACAACUUCAAGCUCAGCAAAGAGAUAGUGUGAGGUAGGACAUCAUAUUUCUAUAAAAUGCAUUUUUCAAGUCACAAAUGAUCAAUUUAGCAAUAGUAUAAACAACAAAAAUGUGAAAAAAUAUUUUUGAGGGGGAAAUAGUAUUUUUUCUGAAGUUUCUUGUGAAAAUCUGUGAACCCAGAAGUGUAACUUCAUUCUAAGAAUAACAAUGGCUGCUGUGAUUGGAAUGUUGAAAUCCAGUCAGUGGAUGAUUGGGAAAGUUCCCCUUUCAUUGUAUAUGAGGUGGCAUGAAUGAGGAGUUAGAGGGGGAGGAAGAGAUCAACAAGAUGCUUUAUGUUGGUUGCUAUAUGUAUGACCCAGAUGCAACCAACACCGAAAAUGUGGUACCUGAACAGCCAGAUAUGGAAUGGUGUGAAAUGACCCACUGAGACUGGAUAAUAGUUUCAGUGCUUUUUUGUUGACUCACCCGUGAGAAUACUGUUAAACACUGGAUAUUUCUGGAUUCACUGUUUAAAAGCUGCUUAGUUUGACUACUAUGAAGUAUCCAUGCCAAUUGCAAGAAUACCCCGUGGGUAUGUAUCAGCAUGGCCGACUAAAAGUGCAUGCAGAGACAAGCCUGUAUGCAUAGAACAUCACUACCAAGCAUCUUCCUGGCUAAUGUUCUGUGUCUGACAAACAAACUGGAUGAGGUCCAAUGUUGGAUUACUUUCCCAUGGAUUAAAGACCGCAAUGUCACUAUUUUAAGGUGGUGUGUGUAUCAAAUACAGGAUCCAGCAGUACAGCAAAAUUUACUGUUGGAUCUAGCAUGAA